This 1564-nucleotide long non-coding RNA is filed under the name Eucalyptus grandis. RNAcentral's name for it is "long non-coding RNA (EGRA_LNC000768)". The record is from RNAcentral. Lineage: Eukaryota; Viridiplantae; Streptophyta; Magnoliopsida; Myrtales; Myrtaceae.
GGCUAAGGUGCCUUAUGCAUCCACUAUUAGUAGCUAGAUGUAUGUCAUGGUGUUUACCGGACUAGAUAUAGCUCAUGUAGUGGUAAUUGUGAACCAAUAUAUGAUUAAUUUAGGAAUAAAGCAUUGGGAAGCUAUAAAGUAGCUACUUAAAUAUCAGCAAGGUACCUAGGUAUGUCAAUUUAUUCUAUGAAACCAAUGUGAUUUUGCAAGUUUUUCUCGAUGCAGAUCUGGGUGGUGACUUAGACAAAGGAAAGAGCACCUCGGUUAUGUUUUUACCUUAGUGGCACUUCAGUCAAUUGGAUGUUUAGACUAGAGAAAUUUGUGUCCCUUUAAACGACUGAAUUGUAGUAUGUUGCUAUAUCUAAAGUUGACAAAGAGAUUAUUUGGUUAAAGAAUUCUCUGGACGAGAUAAGCAGCGAGCAUGAUUGUUGUGUUCUUUUCAAGGAUAGUCACUUUACUAUAUAAUUCAAGGACAAAGCACAUUCCUUUGGAGUAUCAUCGUAUCCAUGUGCUUGAUAUAGUCUAAAUGCGUUCAAGAUCAUCCAAUACAAACCAAAGACCUUUCAACAUGAACAUAGUGGGCUAUUACAAAAAUAUCAGAACAAAUGUUGGUAACAACUUUUACUAAUCUGCCAUUUUUAGAUAUGUUUAAUGUAAGGCUGGUGCUCACUUUGAUCCUGCGUCAUUUUGUAGCCUUAAAGAAUUGAUUUAGUUGAUCUUAUGGAGAACUCGGCCAAGAAGCAUAAGGACCUUGUAGCUUUAGCCUUUAGAGAUGCACUUGUGAUAUUGGCCGUGCAGCCCCAAGUGAUGAAUUUAUUAAAAGAAAAUUGGUUAUUGUUGGCAAAGCAUUCUCUCCACCAGCUUCAUAUGUCAGGGAAGUUGGGGGAAGUUAGUAGGAAAAGCUCAUGACGAGUUGAACAGUUAUUACUAGUAUUAGGCUUACAAAUACCAGCGACUUGGGAUUAAAAAAUCUCUCUCUUUCGACAAUCAAGAUGCUUUGUGAUCUAUUUUUAUCUCUGCUUUUGAUUACAUAAUUCUUCUUUUCUCGCAAUUUACUUCUUCAGUACAAUUUACGCUUUGCUUGCAAUCUUUUAUUUUUCUCCGCAUUUAGCUUCGCAUAAAUUCACACUUUGUCGAGUCGCCAUUUCGUGCAAUUUGUGCGUGAGGUAAGGAACCGUGGAGCAAUCUAAGUGGCUCUUGGUGCAAUUUGUCUAUUUCUGCUUGAAUCUAGUCACAUAAUUCGAUUGAUUUAAAGAGAUCUGGAGAUCCAAAUGCUACUCUAGAGGAGCAACGUAGAGCUGAAAUUACGUAAUGGGUUUUGUGUUUGAUAAUAAAGUUACCUUCGCACAAAUCAAGUUAUGUCCGAGUCCUGAGAGGCAGUAAAACCGGAGGAUUACUUUCACAUCUCAACCUGAAUUUAUCAAAAAAAUAUUUCAUAACUGGAACGAGUGUAUCUAUAAUUUCUCGUGAUUGGCAUGGUGAUCUUACCGAUGUACUUCUCCUCUUCAAGCACAAGCCCUUGCACUGAAACAAGCUUUACUUUUUCUCUAGCCCUAAAGGAUGA